GGGGGGGGGGGGGCGUAAAAAAUAAGGCUGGCAUUGAAAAACGCUAAUAUAAAAAAUAUGGCCUCUAUGUAUUAUUGAAAGAUACUUUUAUUUAUUAAAGUAACUUUGGUUUAUAGCAUUAUAAGUUCCAUGUGUAUAAUAUUAUACCUCGACUUCUCUGUACACCACAGCCUGCUCACCACGCCAGGUGGCGCUUCCCUCCUUCGCCGUACAGUGGAACCCCUUUACCCGUCUCACCCUCCCCGCCGUCGCCCCCGAUAAGCCACUGCUCUGGUCUUGGACCUAUGUUUUUAUUUUUGUUUGGUUUGUUCUUUAUUAGUAUUAUUCUACACAUGCGUUAAAUCCUACGGUAUUUGUCUUUCUCUGCCUGACAUUUUACUUUACACAGUACCUUCACGGUCCACCCAUGUUGUCACAAACGGCAUGAAUCAUCUUCUGGCGGAGUUCUCCUGUUUUGUGUGUUGUAUGCGAUACCCCCAUCUUCUUCGUCCACACGCAUCCACGGGCGUACACUCAGGUUGCUUCCCUGCCUUGGCUGCUAUGAUGAUGCCCUAGGGGUGCAUGUAUCUUCUCAAAUUACUGCUUUUGUGUUCGUCAGGUGAAUACCCAGAAGUGGAGCAGCUGGAUCAUGGAGUCGUUAUUCUCUUUUUGAGGAACCUCCAUACAGUUUUCCGUAGUGACUACGCCAAUUUAUAUUCCCACCAGCAGUGUAGGAGGGGUCCCUUUUCUCCCCAUCCUUGCCAGCACUCAUUAUUUCUUGCCUUUUUGAUAAUAGCCAUUCUUUUUUUUUUUUUUUUUUUUUUAAGAGCUGCACCCAUGGCAUAUGGAAGUUCCCGGGCUAGGGGGCCAAGUGGAGCUGCAGCUGCUGGAUCUGAACCUCGUCUGCAACCUACACCGCAACUCAUGGUGAUGCUGGAUUCUUAACCCACUGAGAAGGCCAAGGAGCAAACCCCCAUCCUCAUGGAUACGAGUCGGGUUCAUUACCACUGAGCCACAGUGGGAACUCCAGUGAUAGCCAUUCUAACAAGCGUGAGGUAAUACCUCCCUGUGGUUUCGAUUUGCAUUUCUCCAAUAAUUGGUGAUGCUGAACAUCUUCUCCUGUCCCUGCUGGCCAUCUGUCGGUCUUCUUUGGGAAAAAAAAUGUUUAUUCAUAGCCUCUCUGGCCAUUUUUUAAUUGGGUUGUUUGGUUUUUUGUUGUUGAAAGUAAGACAUGUCUAAUUACCAAAUAUUCCAUAGGUAAUAGAGGAUACAUUUUUCCCCAAUUUUGUUGAGAUGUAAUUGACAUAUAACAUUGUAUGAGUUUAAGCCGUACAAUGUAAUGAUUUCAUAUGUGUUUAGAUGGCAAAACGAUCACCACAAUAAGACUAGUUAACAUCCAUCCUCUCACCUAGUUAUAAUUUUUUUUUCCUUAUGAUGAGAACUUUUCAGAUAUACUCUCAGAGUUCCCUGGUGGCUCAGUGGGUUAAGGAUCCAAUGCUGUCACUGCUGUGGCUCGGGUUUCUGUGCUGGCAAGGUUUUGAUCCCUGGCCCAGGAACUUCCACGUGCUGUGGGUUUGAACCAAAAAAAAAAAAAAAAAAUCUGCUCUCUUAGCAACUUUCAGUAUAUCCAACACAGCAGAGUUAACUGCAGUCGCCGGGUUGUGCAUGACAUCCCCAGAACCCCUUUCUCCUGCCACAGAAGCACGCACCUUUCGGCCACCUUCACCUAAUUCCCCCUUCCCCCACUGCCCACCCCUGACAACCACAAAUCUGACCUCUGGUGCCAUGGGGUUGUUCUUCCUGGAUUCCGAGUGUAUGUGAGCUCCUGCAGUUUUUGUCUUCCUCUCUGACUUAUUGCACUUAGCAUGAUGCUCUCAAGGUCCAUCCGUGUUGUCACAAGUGGCAGAAUUUCCUUAUUUUAUUUAAAAAAGAAUUUAUCGGAGUUACUGAUGUGGCACAGCGGAAACGAGUCCGACUGGGAACCAUGAGGUUUCGGGUUUGCUCCCUGGCUUCGCUCAGUGGGUUAAGGAUCUGGCGUUGCUGUGAACUGCGGUGUAGGCCAGCGGCUGCAGCUCUGAUUAGACCCCUAGCCUGGGAACCUCCAUAUGCCGGGGGUGCGGCCCUAAAAAGACAAAAAAAUAAAAUAAAGAAGGAUGUGUUUUGACUGAAUAGUAUCCCUUUAUACACAUCUUUAGUCAUUCAUCCAUCAGUGGACACUUACGUUGCGUCCAUGUCUUGGUUAUUGUGAAUAAGGCUGCUAUAAAUAUGGAAUGCAGAUAUCUCUUCAGGAUAGUGAUUUCGUUUCCUUCAGAUAAAUACUCAGGAGUGGGAUUCCUGGGUCAUAUGGUGGUUCUAUCUUUAAUUUUUUUGAGAAGCCUCCAUGCUAUUUCCUGUGGUGGCAGCACCAAUAUUCGUUCCCACCAAAAGUGCUCAAGAGUUCCCUUUUCUCCACAUUUUCUCUCUUGUCUUUUUUUUUUUUCCCAAUGCCUGUGCCCGAGGCACAUGCAAGUUCCAAGGCCAGGGACUGAAUCUGAGCCACAGCUGCGACCUCCACUGCAGCUGUGGCAAUGCUGGAUCAUUUGAACCCACUGCAGCAGGCCAAGGAUCGAAUCUGCACUUCUGCAACCACCCAAGCUGCUGCAGUUGGCUUUUUAACCCGCUGCACCACAGCAGGAACUCCUCUCUGGUCUUUUUGAGGGUGGCAGUUCUAACAGGUGUGAGGUGAGGGGAUUACAUUUUUAACAAAAAAUAUAUAUAAAGCAUAAGUCCUGGGGUCAUAUUGCCAGUGGUUUAUCAUUAUAACUUUUUAACAUUCACCUUUUUCUUUUUUUUUUUUUUUUAGGAAACCACAGUUAGUGACAUCCCUGAAUUUGAAGCAUUGAAUAAAAUCAUGCCCUUACCAAACUCUGGUAAAAUCAGGGCAAUCAGUUUUUCAGGACCGGGUUUGGUAGAGUCGGCCAAAAGCCUUCAGGAGACCGAAGAACAUACGUCGGAAGAAACAGUGGCCAGCCCCAAAUCCCCUAGGUCUCUUUUGUGUUCACAGAAUUCUGAAGCUGGAUGCGUAAAGGUAGCUUCUCCGAAAGAGACCUAUCACAUCCAAGAAUAAGGCUGCAAGUUGGCACUACACAAUCACUGGUGUCUAAAACUAGACUGAUCAAAGCUGCUAACGCAAGCUUGGGCUUGUAGGUGGAGCAUGAUGUGGAGAAGAGUUACAGCACAUCUUCACUGGGCACCAACCAGGAGUCUUCAAAAUUGCUGGUAGAUUCAUUAAAGCUCUUCC
Molecule: long non-coding RNA, 3259 nt
Filed under: Sus scrofa (pig)
Lineage: Eukaryota; Metazoa; Chordata; Mammalia; Artiodactyla; Suidae
Description: lncRNA (ENSSSCG00035035824.1)
Source: RNAcentral